RNAcentral lists this ribosomal RNA (433 nucleotides) under uncultured bacterium. RNAcentral's name for it is "partial 16S ribosomal RNA". It matches the Rfam family "Bacterial small subunit ribosomal RNA", at positions 29 to 507 of the family's 1533-position model. The record is from RNAcentral.
AACGAACGCUGGCGGCAUGCCUAACACAUGCAAGUCGAACGAGACCUUCGGGUCUAGUGGCGCACGGGUGCGUAACGCGUGGGAACCUGCCCUUAGGUUCGGAAUAACUCCCCGAAAGGUGUGCUAAUACCGGAUAAUGUCUUCGGACCAAAGAUUUAUCGCCUUUGGAUGGGCCCGCGUUGGAUUAGCUGGUUGGUAGGGUAAAAGCCUACCAAGGCGACGAUGCAUAGCUGGUCUGAUAGGAUGAUCCGCCACACUGGGACUGAGACACGGCCCAGACUCCUACGGGAGGCAGCAGUAGGGAAUAUUAGACAAUGGGCGAAAGCCUGAUACAGCAAUGCCGCGUGAGUGAUGAAGGCCUUAGGGUUGUAAAGCUCUUUUACCCGGGAUGAUAAUGACAGUAACGGGAGAAUAAGCUCCGGCUAACUCCGUG